Molecule: ribosomal RNA, 313 nt
Filed under: uncultured Coprococcus sp.
Lineage: Bacteria; Bacillati; Bacillota; Clostridia; Lachnospirales; Lachnospiraceae
Description: bacterial SSU rRNA
Rfam family: Bacterial small subunit ribosomal RNA
Source: RNAcentral
UGGGGGAUAUUGCACAAUGGGGGAAACCCUGAUGCAGCGACGCCGCGUGAGUGAAGAAGUAUUUCGGUAUGUAAAGCUCUAUCAGCAGGAAAGAUAAUGACGGUACCUGACUAAGAAGCACCGGCUAAAUACGUGCCAGCAGCCGCGGUAAUACGUAUGGUGCAAGCGUUAUCCGGAUUUACUGGGUGUAAAGGGAGCGCAGACGGCAUGGCAAGCCAGAUGUGAAAGGUGGGGCUCAACCCCCAAGCUGCAUUUGGAACUGUCAAGCUAGAGUAUCGGAGAGGUAAGUGGAAUUCCUAGUGUAGCGGUAGAA